GCCGCCACUGGAGCCGUGUCCUGGGCUUCCGGGGCGGAAACUGGGGCCCCGUGUCCCGUGCGGGCCUCCGUCCUCGGGCGAGCAGGGCCCUUCGCUCCGGGAGGGGAGGUGACGCGGCGCGGGCUGGACGGCCGGAGACGCGGGGUCAGGGCGCGGACGAGGGGAGCGCAGGGUCGGAGGGGCUCCCGGACGCUGCCCGCCCAGCGUCGGCUCUCGUUGGCCCCUGGCUGCGCGCAGCGGGCCCGACUCUCAGGGCCCUGCGGUGCCCGCUGCCAGCGUGAGGGCUCCGGUCACGCGGCGCGCGAGACGAACGAGCGAGAUGCUUCCCGAAGCGCGGGGCCCAGUGCAGGGGCUCAGCCGGGGCUCCUCCCAAAGCUCACCUGGAGCCCAGCACGACUGCGUUCUGGAAACGCUGUGUUUGACAGCAGGGGCAGGAUGGGGGGCUGUGUAGACGCUGGCCACGUGGCAAUUGUAGGAGAACCAUGGGAUCGAUAAAUGUUCACUGUUGUCCCUGAAGCGCAAAACUGCAGGGCUCUGGAAAGUCCGUGUGUGUGUUUUUGUUGUUUUUGUUUGUUUGAGACAGAGUCUCGCUCUGUCACCCAGGCUGGAGUGCGGUGGCGCGAUCUCUGCUCACUGCAACCUCCGCCUCCCGGGUUCAAGCGAUUCUCCUGCCUCAGCCUCCCGAGUAGCUGGGACUGCAGGCGGCCGCCACGACGCCCGGCUAAUUUUUUGUAUUUUUAGUAGAGACGGGGUUUCACCGUGUUAGCCAGGAUGGUCUUGAUCUGACCUCGUGAUCUGCCCGCCUCGGCCUCCCAGAGUGCUGGGAUUACAGGCGUGAGCCACCGCGCCUGGCCGAAAAGUCCGUUUUAAAAGAUGAUGUAUACAAAUUAUAGCACGGAGAGGGAACGGGCAAGUUGUUUCCUCUUUCCAUGCCUCCAACUCCUCUGAAAUGUGGGUCAUGAUGAUAAUAGGAAAAACUGUCUCUGCCAUAGAGAGGUGGAAAAAGUCCCGCGAAGUGUCCCCGGUAUCUAGAAAGCGCUCAGUAGUGUUUGCUGUUAUCUUAGGGAUAUCAGGCUGCCUGGACAUUUCUCAGAGGAUGAAGGGGAUUGUAGGAAGGAAGACCACCUUCCCGGGGCUGGGCAAGGCUGCGGUACUGUCUCUCAUCAGGUCCAGGAGGACUCAGCAGGCUGAUGCAGAGGGACACAGCGCAUCCGCCUUGGUGGAUGCAUGGCUUUCCUGGCUCCCCUGGGACGGGGGAGGAGGGUGAAGAUGGAGGGAAUCUGGCUGGCUGGGCCUUGUGUACUGGGGGGUGGAGGGCCCAUUUGACUGCAGGAAUUGCUCAAGCACAUAAGCACCUUGAAGUGUGUUACUAAGAUACAAGAAACAGGUUUGCUUUUGCCUAUUCCAGCAUGGUGUACCUCUCUUAGGAUACCUUUUAGCACAGGUAGCAGAAUACCAGCCAGCCUCCUGUGGCUCACAGCAUUAAGAUAUUUAAUCAUCUGACAUUACAUGAAGUCCAGUGUUAGGCAGGCAGGAGCUGCUCCCGUGACUCAGUGACAUCAGGUUGGUCCACAUCCUAGCAGUUCUCUUGGUGUUCCUGCGUGAUCAAAGGAUGACUGCCACACCCCAGCCUGCUGACCUCAGCCCUGGCGUGGGCAUAGGAGGGUCUGCGUGGCUGAGCAUCCAGUGUCCUUCGUACUGCCACUGACAGCCUCAGGCCUGAUUUCCAGCACUGUCUGUCCAGGAGCAAUGGGAGCAAGAGUCACUCCACGAGACUCUGGAGGCCUGAUAGACAAAAUACAUGAAGACCAGUUUCUACACAGAGAAUCACUAAAAGAUGGCCAGGCGCGGUGGCUCACGCCUGUAAUCCCAGCACUUUGGGAGACCGAGGCGGGCGGAUCACAAGGUCAGCAGAUCGAGACCAUCCUGGCUAACAUGGUGAAACCCCAUCUCUACUAAAAAUACAAAAAAUUAGCCCGGCGUGGUGGCGGGCGCCUGUAGUCCCAGCUUUUCGGGAGGCUGAGGCAGGAGAAUGGCAUGAACCUGGGAGGCAGAGCUUGCAGUGAGCCAAGAUCACACCACUGCACUCCAGCCUGGGCGACAGAGCGAGACUCCAUCUCAAAAAAAAAAGAAUCAGUAAAAGAUAUAAAGGAGAAAAGGACAGAACCACAAAUAGGCAACAAAUAUGUUAAAAAAAAGUUUAGCUUCACUUAAAAUGAAAUAAAUGUGAUUAAAAUAUUUAAGGUUGGCUUUUUCCCCCCUCUAAUGAGUUAGCGAAGGUUAAACAUUUAAAAAGCCUGAUGAAAUCUAGGGUUGGCAGAAGUAUGGAAAGCAACCAGUGGCCAUGCUGGUUGGUAUAACCUUCCCUUUGGGCAAUUCAUUUAUAAGUAUCAGCACUUAAAAUGUGCAAUACUCGGCCAGGCAUGGUGGCUCACACUGUAAUUCUAGCACUUUGGGAGGCCGAGGCGAGUGGAUGAUGAGGUCAGGAGUUCGAGACCAGCCUGGCCAACAUAGUGAAAACCGGUCUCUACUAAAAAUACAAAAAAAAUUGGUAGGGCUUGGUGGCGGGCGCCUGUAGUCCCAGCUACUUGGGAGGCUGAGGCAGGAGAAUCGCUUGAACCCAGGAGGAGGAGAUUGCAGUGAGCCGAGAUUGCGCCACCGCACUCCAGCCUUGCGACAGAGCAAGACUCCGUCUCAAAAAAAAAGGACUGGUAAGACAAUGUGGUAUUCUUGCUCCUCCUCCCACUGUUAGUUGUGGGUAUAAUGUUUCUCCCAUUCAACCUGGGUCGGCCCCAGUGACUUGCUUGACCAAUAGAAUGUAGUGAGGUGAUGUCUUAGGGCUACCAAAGUGAGGUCACAAGAGCCGGUGGCUUCCACCCCAGCCUCCUGGGACUCUGUGAGACCCGCUGCUACUGAGACUGCUGUGCUGGAGAGGCCACAUGUGGGUGUUCUGGCCCACGGUGCCAGCUGACAUCAGCCUUCCAGCCACCCCAGUGAUCUCUUUUCUGUCACACUGGACAGGACAGUCACCUGGUGGAGCUGCUGAAAUUCCUGGCACGCUGUCACAUAUAACAAAAUAGUUCUUGGCGGCACGGUGGCUCACGCCUGUAAUCCCAGCACUUUGGGAGGCCAAGGUGGGUGGAUCACAAGGUCAGGAGUUCAAGACCAGCUUGGCCAAUUUGGUGAAAGCCCAUCUCUACUAAAAAUACAAAAAUUAGCUAGGCAUGAUGGCACGCGCCUGUAGUCCCACCUACUCAGGAGGCUGAGGCAGCAGAAUUGCUUGAACCCAGGAGGUGGAGGUUGCAGUGAGCUGAGAUCGCGCCACCACACUCCAGCCUGGGUGACAGAGCAAGAUUCCGUCUAAAAAAAAAUGGUUCUUUUAAACCACUAAGUUUUCAGGGGUCUGUAAGGCGGUGAUACAUAAUGGGAACAGAUACUUGCAGUUCUAUGUAUAGCCAUGUUCAUUACAGCAUGAUUUAUGAUACUGAAAUAUUGGGAACAUCUGUAAAGAGUUUGUUAAAGUCUGAUACACCACUACAAUGAAAUAGAUCUAGUCAGUGGGACAAAGCAGGGUGAGUAAAGCAGGGCCAGAUGCUCACAAGGAGUAUUCAGCUAAAAAUGUAAGACAGGCUGGGUGCGGCAGCUUAUACCUAUAGUCCCAGCAUUUGCGGAGGCCAAGGCAAGAAGAUUGCUUGAGCCCAGGAGGUCAAGCUGCAGUGAACUGUGAUCACACCACUGUCCUCCAGCCUGGGCGACAAUGUGAGAUCCUGUCUCAAAAAACAAAACAGGCUGGGCUCGGUGUCUCAUGCCUGUAAUCCCACCACUUUGGAAGGCCGAGGCGGGCAGAUCACGAGGUGAGGAGUUCGAGACCAGCCUGGCCAACAUAGUGAAACCCCGUGUCUACUAAAAAUACAAAAAAUUAGCCGGGUGUGGUGGUGGGUGCCUGUAAUCCUAGCUACUCGGGAGGCCAAGGCCGGAGAAUCGCUUGAACCUGGGAGGUGGAGGUUGCAACAAGCCGGGAUCUCGCCACUGCACUCCAGCCGGGGUGACAGUGCAAGACUCCAUCUCAAAAACAAAAACAAAAACAAAAACCCCCCAAAACAAAAAACAAAACAGAAUGAAAAGUAGUAGAAAAAUGGUGAGUCAGUAAAAGAACAACCCCAUGAAAAAAUGGGCAAAAGUGCUGGGUGCGGUGGCUCAUGUCUGUAAUCCCAGCACUUGGGGAGGCUGAGGCUGGAGGAGUGCUUGAACCCAGGAGUUGGAGACCAGCCUGGGCAACAUAGAUACCCCAACUCUACAGAAAAAAAAUUAAAAAUUAGCCAGGUGUCAUGGUGUGUGCUUGUAGUCCCAGAUAUUGAGGGCUGAGGCAACAGGUCCUUUGAACCCAGGAGGUCGAGGCUGCAUGAGCCAUGAUUGUGCCACUGCACUUCAGCCUGGGUGACAGAGCAAGACCCUGACUCUAAAAAUAAUAAUAACCAAGGCUGGGUGUGGUGGCUUAUGCCUCUCAUCCCAGCACUUUGGGAGGCCGAGGCGGGCAGAUCACAAGGUCAAGAGAUAGAGACCAUCCUGGCCAAUGUGGCGAAACCUUGUCUCUACUAAAAAUACAAAAAUUAGCUGGGCAUGGUGGCAGGCACCUGUAAUCCCAGCUGCUUGGGAGGAAGAGGCAGGAGAAUCGCUUUAACCCAGGAGGCGGAGGUUGCAGUGAGCCGAGAUUGCGCCACGGCACUCCAGCUUGGGUGACAGAGAGACAGACUCCGUUUCAAAAUAAUAAUAAUAAUAUAAUAAUCAAAAAUUGGAAGUAACCAAGAUGCUCUUUAAUAAGUACAUGGGUGGCCAGGGGCUGUGGCUCAUGCCUGUAAUCCUAGCACUUUGGGAGGCCGGGGCAGGCGGAACACAAGGCCAGGAGAUCAAGA
This 4913-nucleotide long non-coding RNA is filed under the name Homo sapiens (human). RNAcentral's name for it is "long non-coding RNA NONHSAT077961.2". Lineage: Eukaryota; Metazoa; Chordata; Mammalia; Primates; Hominidae. The record is from RNAcentral.